This 256-nucleotide ribosomal RNA is filed under the name uncultured bacterium. Its description in RNAcentral is "partial 16S ribosomal RNA". It matches the Rfam family "Bacterial small subunit ribosomal RNA", at positions 524 to 776 of the family's 1533-position model. The record is from RNAcentral.
GACAUAGGUGGCGAACGUUAUCCGGUUUUAUUGGGCGUAAAGGGUGCGUAGGUGGUGAGAUAAGUUAGCGGUGGAAAAUCGAGGCUCAACCUCGUGGAAGCCGGUAAUACUGUUUCACUAGAGGGCAGGAGAGGUUGACGGAACUCCAUGUGGAGCGGUAAAAUGUGUAGAUAUAUGGAAGAACACCAAUAACGGCGAAGGCAGUUAACUAUUCUGUUACUGACAUUGAGGCACGAAAGCGUGGGGAGCAAAACGG